CAUAACGCAAAGUCCAUGAGAUCGGGUCCACUGACUUUCCAGAUCACUCAAUUUCAUAAAGAAAAUGAUUUCUUAAACAAAAACAUCCCAACACUUUACAUUGUGCUAAAAACCUAAAACCUCUGAACAUUGACACUAGGGCAAAUUUGCAAUAGAUCAUUAACAUGAAACCCAAGAUGGCAUCAGUUUUCUCAUAGAAACUCACACAAACCCAAGCGCAAAGUAAGAUAAGUGGUGACAAGCAAACACCUUUGACUUUACAAAACCUUCAAUUCCACAUUUUCUUUCGUCCUAAAACAUAUGAGUUCCAAGAAAUUCUUCUUUAAUUCUCCUACAUUUUCGGAAAAACUACACAAAUAUGUCUGAAAAAAAUUGUCAUGUCUCAAAAUUUAGAUCAAGAUCAAACACUAGCAACUUUUAUAUGCUAAAUCUGUAAGUAAAACCCACCAAGCUGCAUUAACAUAUUGGCAAGAAACGAAGAGAAAUAGUAGAUCUUAAAUAAACAAGGGCAACAGCGGGAUACACUAAACCUGAGCUCGAGUUCAAACAAUGAAAACCCAGAUAAAAACACUUCCCCAUCAAACAAACGAUAUUAUAAAAGAUGCCACCAAAUCCUCGUUUUACCUUUAUACAACUGAACAAACUAAGCUUCAACCAAGUCCCAAAAACAUGAGAAACUGAAGAUCCAAGAUCUUACCACCCUUUCCCUUCUGAUGAACAGAACUAAGAAAGCAGGAGAAACCCAACUCUCAAGAGAAAAAAUCGGAACAUGUCUUAAAGAAAGAGCAGAGAGGAGAACAUCGUGAACUAACACAAAACAAAACAGACAAUACCUUUAUGUAUCUUAGAUUUUAGAUCCCUAUUUCCAAUUUUGACAAUCCCCUUGGCCAGAAGGAAACAGCAUGGAAAACCAGAACAAUUCAAACUAAUGCAGUGGUCUCCAACUGUCAAUUACACGCCGAGAGAGAGAGAGAGCGAGAGAGAGAAGAAUAAGAAGAUUAAGAGACUUAGUCGUGAGCAAGACUACAAGCACUACUACAACACAUCAUGAUUAUUCCAAGUUUUUAAAUACAAAACAUGCAGCUCCGUAUUCGUUUUUUUCGAAUUAAAAAAUGGAUAAAGAGGAAGAAGAUGAUGAUGAUGAUGAGCAGGUUCUUAGUAGAGGAAAAACGCGUGACUGCAAACAGGGUGUGGAUCAAGAGAGUUUAUGGGUAUUUGUGGGUCGCCGGCUACUACUUACCCAACCAGCUUCUCUUUUUUUUUAAGUUUCUUUUUUCAAAGAAGGCGAAGGGGUUUAUGAUUAACCGGGGGGUGGGUUUGGACAAGACGGAGAAAUUUUUGUUUAUUUUAUUAUUUUAAUUAAAAGGGUAUAACAGGAAUUUCACCAGAUUACGUCGAGAAAAGAGAGCUUGUGAAGGAAU
This 1421-nucleotide long non-coding RNA is filed under the name Carica papaya (papaya). RNAcentral describes it as "long non-coding RNA (CPAP_LNC000256)". Lineage: Eukaryota; Viridiplantae; Streptophyta; Magnoliopsida; Brassicales; Caricaceae. The record is from RNAcentral.